ACGGGUGAGUAACACGUAGGUAACCUGCCUAUGAGACUGGGAUAACUAUCGGAAACGAUAGCUAAGACCGGAUAACUGGUUUUCUCGCAUGAGAGAAUCAUGAAACACGGAGCAAUCUGUGGCUUAUAGAUGGGCCUGCGGCGCAUUAGCUAGUUGGUAGGGUAAUGGCCUACCAAGGCGACGAUGCGUAGCCGACCUGAGAGGGUGAACGGCCACACUGGGACUGAGACACGGCCCAGACUCCUACGGGAGGCAGCAGUAGGGAAUCUUCCGCAAUGGACGCAAGUCUGACGGAGCAACGCCGCGUGAGUGAUGAAGGUUUUCGGAUCGUAAAGCUCUGUUGCCCUAGACGAACAGCAAGGAGAGUAACUGCUCUUUGUGUGACGGUAUAGGAGAAGAAAGCCCCGGCUAACUACGUGCCAGCAGCCGCGGUAAUACGUAGGGGGCAAGCGUUGUCCGGAAUUAUUGGGCGUAAAGCGCGCGCAGGCGGUCAAUUAAGUUGGGUGUUUAAGCCCGGGGCUCAACCCCGGUUCGCAUCCAAAACAGGUUGACUUGAGUGUAGGAGAGGAAAGUGGAAUUCCACGUGUA
RNAcentral lists this ribosomal RNA (588 nucleotides) under uncultured bacterium. Its description in RNAcentral is "bacterial SSU rRNA". It matches the Rfam family "Bacterial small subunit ribosomal RNA", at positions 102 to 677 of the family's 1533-position model. The record is from RNAcentral.